Molecule: long non-coding RNA, 548 nt
Organism: Oncorhynchus tshawytscha (Chinook salmon)
Lineage: Eukaryota; Metazoa; Chordata; Actinopteri; Salmoniformes; Salmonidae
Source: Ensembl
CUGUAGCUCCUCCUCCCAGCCUCCUCUGUUGUACAUUGAACCAUUGAAGUUUGAAAAAUGGGGGUAAAGAAGAAUACCGAAGUUUUGAUACUUGAAAAAUGGUUUGUUAUCCGGGUGGCCCACCAAAUCGAUGACUAGGGGGAUCGGAGUGAUCAAGGCUUAAUCAAGACAUGGACUGACUGCCUGUUCCAUUCCCUCCCCAUGAAGUAGGAAGACAGCUAUACCCCAUUCUACUGGACAUUGAAGUGGAGACAGCUGCUUUGUCAUCAAGAUGGCGCCGUUGAUUUGGGAGCUAAUUGGAUUUUUGAAAAGCUGACUGGAUUUUUCAGGAUUUUAUUUUACUGGAUAAGAUGCAUCAAUUGGAAUUACAUCAAACUUUGACAUGGACUCUUGUGCUUUGGAUGUGCUGGCAAUUCUUUGGACUCAAUUGUUUGAAUAUUGUAAUGGUUUCCUUUACUGAGUUCAGUUACACUACCUUUUCUACUUCUGUGAUUUCCUAAUAGGAUGUUAUUUAUGUUAAAUAAAACAUUGCAAUUUUCACUUCUGAC